Molecule: long non-coding RNA, 1560 nt
Organism: Ictalurus punctatus (channel catfish)
Lineage: Eukaryota; Metazoa; Chordata; Actinopteri; Siluriformes; Ictaluridae
Source: Ensembl
GACCUUCUUCCACCUCCAUACACAGCCAGAAGAGUAAACACUGUGCCUACUUUACUGUACUUUAUUCGCUGCUUGAGAGUCAUGAUGAGAUAAUGACAAAGUGCUUACUGUGUUAUUAUAUUACAUUAUAUCAUUCUCGUUCUACUUUCAACACUUAGCAUUUAGGCUUUGUCAGUACUGAAACUGAUACAGUAAAGCUCUACUGACUUGAGAACGAAUUGAAACUUAGGACAGAAAAGGGAAAGGACAGAGGAAGGAAUGUGAGGAAUCUGAAUCGUCCGUGCUGUAAACGCAUUCUGGCCGAAGAAUUCAAAGAGGCAGCCAAGAAGCAGAAGAAUGGGAGGCUUGGCGCUGUGUUUGACUGUGGUAGUGACCCAAUGCCAAAUGUGACCACCUUUUGGACAGCAUGUCAUAUGUGCCAUGUGCCAAGCGAGCUGUUGGCCCAAUUGAGUCAAUCUGCAGUCUGCCAGGCGCCGAAAACACGAGAAAGCAUAAAAGCCUCUCUUUAGCAGCAGGGAGUCGCUAACUGCCUGCGAGGCCUGCUGUCUUCCCCCAGAGUUCAGGCUUUGAAGAGUGCUGUGCAUCACUUAUUCCCUUUCAUGUCUGCACUAUCUUGGGAAGCCACUGCAAGGGAGAUUUCAAAGGGGAGGACCAGAGGAGGGCAAGACUCCAGAGACCGCUCUCGCCCUUCCACUAGGCCUGAAGGAGAAAUUCCAAAAACGCUCAGCAGCAGCAGUACACAUACAGUAUGGUAGAGCAACAAUAGCUGAAUUUAGAACAGACAAAGAGUGUCAGCCAUUUUGUGGGCUUUAAGUGUGCAUUUUAAAACAGAGGAUAAUUACAGUUGAAGGCAAAAGUUGCACCCUGCAAAGUUUCUAGCUGGAAGGAAAAUUGAAUGAAGAAGCAAAAAUCUAAUUAAAUAAUUUUGAAAUGUAAUGUGGGUCUCAUGCAAUCAGGCAAAAUCUACAGAAAAGUAGCAUCCAUCCAUCUGCUAUACUGCUUAUCCUUCAGGGUCACAGGAAUCUUGGAGCCUAUACCAGGGACCAUCGGGCACAAGGUGGGGUACACCCUGGUCAGGGUGCCAAUCCAUCAUAGGGCACAAUCACACACACCCAUUCAUACACUACGGACACUUUGGACAUGCCAAUCAGUCUACCAUGCAUGUCUUUGGACUGGGGGAGGAAACCGGAGUACAUGGAGGAAACCCCACAGCACGGGGAGAACAUCCAAACUCCACACACACAGGACAGCGGCUGGAAUCGAACCCCCAGCCCUGGAGGUGUGAAGUGAACGUGCUAACCACGUUUAGAAAGGGUGAUGAAAACAUUUGAAGUGAUAUAUUUAUUUUCUCACAAUAUAUAAAAACAUAUGCUAUUUAACUAUUUUUGUUGUUAACUAUAAUGUAGGAACAUCUGUAAAGCCUAACAUUUUGCCCAGAACUUAUACAAACAUUUGCACUCAUCUAUGAGGUUAGUGUACAGACCUUUUAAAUGUAACAGGAAGCAGAGUUUUAUGCUCAUGAUCUGAGUUUAUGUUUUACAUUUGUGUCUUAACAUUUCU